AUUGAACGCUGGCGGCAGGCCUAACACAUGCAAGUCGAACGAGUGGCGGACGGGUGAGUAAAGUCUGGGAAACUGCCUGAUGGAGGGGGAUAACUACUGGAAACGGUAGCUAAUACCGCAUACCAUCAGAUGUGCCCAGUUGGGAUUAGCUAGUUGGUGGGGUAACUGCUCACCAAGGCGACGAUCCCUAGCUGGUCUGAGAGGAUGACCAGCCACACUGGAACUAAAAGACGGUCCAGGCGCCUAAGUGAGGUAGAAGUGGGGAAUAUUGCACAAGUGGCGCAAGCCUGAUGCAGCCCUGCCGGGAGUAUGAGGAAGGCCUUCGGGUUGUAAAGUACUUUCAGCAGGGAGGCGUUACCCGCAGAAGAAGCACCGGCUCACUCCGUGCCAGCGGCCGCGGUAAUAC
This 406-nucleotide ribosomal RNA is filed under the name uncultured bacterium. RNAcentral's name for it is "partial 16S ribosomal RNA". It matches the Rfam family "Bacterial small subunit ribosomal RNA", at positions 30 to 526 of the family's 1533-position model. The record is from RNAcentral.